UAGUUACCCAGAUUAAAGGUGAAACAAAAUGUAUGAAAAAUGGACCUUAAGCUAUAACCUUAAGUAAAUUAUUAAAAGUAUCACUGUCUUUCACAUUGUUCGACAAUUUAUUAGACAGCUGUGCACCAGGGUCGUAGCUUAGCGGGGGGUGAGUGGUGGUGGGCUACCUUAAAAUACUAAUGCAAUACCUUAAUAAUCAACUAUAACAAACUAAACAUUUUCCAUUUCUUAUAACGAAGCCUAACAAACUAGAUGCUUUUUUUAAUUAUAUAUUCCAUAUGUGGAAUCCUCUAAUGAAUGAGUCCUCUAAAUUGCUCAGUAACAAUUUGACAUCGUCGGGAGAAUUAAUGGACUUCAGGAUCUUUAGGUCAUCAGCAAACAUGAAAGGUGUGGAAUGAUGCAAGCAAUUGAUAAUGUCAUUUAUGAACAUAUUAAAAAUAACAGUCCCAAAUGGGAGCCCUGUGGGCACCCCAGAAGCAAUAUGAUGGAAAUUGGAACUAAAACCAUUAAGAACCACAUGGUCAAAUUUGCAGCCCAAGUUUUUAGCCGGCAAGUGGCUACAUCACUAGAAAUCCAGAUGAAGUCUCUGCUAUCUCCAGGAUCAUGAUUACAUAAGUUUAAAUGAAGACAUUGGAAAUGGUUUGUUCACAGCAGAAAUUCUUCUUUUUAUAAAUAAUUUGUUUGAUAGUUUAAAUGGUUUUGGUCAUUAUGGGAAUAAGUUAAAACAUGCUCUUUCAUAUAAUUCGGAGCACAUUGCAUUCUGGAAUGAUGCUGUGAAAAAGCUAGCUUCAAUGCGCUUUGACGCUUCCAAUGAAAGGGAAAGGAAGCCUUUAUCACUGAAGCAUUUUGAACAUAAUAUAAAAACAAUAAAACAUUUGUGGUCAGAUCUGCUGAGAAUUGAUGGUGUUAAAUUUUUAAGUCUUAGACGUCUUAAUCAAGAUCCGAUAGAAAACUUUUUUGGUCAAAUAAGGGCACAUGGUAAUUUUAGUACAAAUCCUAAUUGUACUCAUUUUGUAUCGGCUUUUAAAACCUUGUUGAUUAACAACAUUACUACCGGUAAAUCUUUAUACACUAAUUGUUCUGAUGAUGAUGACAAAAUGUUGGGAACAUUAAAACAUUUAGUCAGCCACCAAAAAUAUGGUUCAUACACUGAUAGUCUUCAAUGUAAUGAAACUAACUUUAUAGAAAUUUCUAUACCUAACGAGAAUAUAUUCCAACAUAAGUCUGUACCAUAUAUUGCUGGUGCAGUUUGUCGUUUUGAUGUCCAAUUUGAACUGCAAAGAUUGUGAUAAUUGUACAAAAGCACUAUUAUCUCAGAGAGAGUCAUUUCACGAAUUAAUUAAUUUAAGAGAAUAUAGUUCCAAUGUAGAUAGGUUAUGUUAUCCUUCUAAUAAUUUUAGUCAAAUGGUCUGGCAGAGUAUUUACAUUAUUGACAAGAUGAUGCCAUUUCUUUGCAGUGUUUAUAUUUAUUCUGACUUAAUAAGUAAUUUAAUAAAAUAUAUUGACACUACUUGGUACAACUGUAAUAUUCACAAAACGGCUGUUAUUAAAGCUUUUUGGUCCUACAUAGUUAGAAUGCAAGUUAAGCAGUGGUGUAUUAAUUUUAAUAAUAGAAUGAAUAAUAUUGAUUCAAGGCCUAAAGAUAUAGAAAUGGAAACUCUAAUCCGUGAGAAAGUCACAAAAGGAUUGAGUUAUAGAUCACAAAGAAGGCGUAGUUCCUAAUCUCACUUAAUAAAAGUUCUUCAUAGUAUUUUGUCCACAAUUAUUACGAUUUUUGCAAAUGAAAUUGAUGUUUUUAAAGUGUAUUACCCACAUUUUGUGGUUUUAAAUUAGCUAUUAUGCUUUCUGUUUAUUGUAUAAAAUCAUAGUAGUUUUAAAAUAAUCUUCAUUAUGGUGACUGUUAAGCAAAUAGUUGUUAAAAUCUUAUAUACAUAAUUAUGCUUGUACAACCUAAAAUGAGCCUACCAGAUAAUUGUCAAGUAAAUAAAUUACAUUUCUACAAAAAGUAUUAUGUGUAUGUUUCCCCAAAUUGUUCAUAUUUUUAUUGAUUUACAUUGUGCAGAAUUAGUAAUUUUACCUUUAAUUUAAUAUUAUAUUUUCAUUAUAAUGUAUUCAACAUUUUCUGUAUUUUGUAGCAUUUUUAGUAGCAAAUGUGCCAUUAUAUGAUAUUGCAAAAUGUUAAAUUAUGCAUGGAAUGCUUUUCGUGAGAGAAUAAUCAUAUUCAAAUAAAUUCUUAGUUUUGUGUUGUUAGAUUAGUUAUUAUAUCUAAUGCAUAGUGUAUAAUAGUGAAUAGCUUAAGUAUGGCUCUUUAUAUUGUGUAAAAUUAUAGUGCUAGUCUUCACAAUUAUCUUAAUUUUGCUAACUGUUAAGCAAGCCGUUGUUAAAAUCUCAUAUGCAUAAUUAUGCUUGAACACGGGUAAAAUAAAAAUGUUUAUGUUUCCAAAAUAGUUCAUAUUUCUAUUCAUUUACUAUGUACAAAAAUAUUAAUUUUACCUUUUAUUUAAAAUCAUGUUUUCAAUAUAAAAUAUCUAACAUUUUUGUCCUUUGUAGUAAUUUUUCUUUCAAAUGUGCCACUAGUCAGUCAUUGUAUUGUCAUUAUUUUUAAUUUUAUGUAAAUUGUUACUGUUAAAUUUAUAUGCAAUCCAAUUUUGUUUCUUGUAAGUUAUUGUUGAUUUAUAUGACAAAAUAUUAAUAAGUGGAAGACAACCAACAAAUCAUGUUGUUGCAUUUGCCUUUAUAAUAUUGAAUUGUAAUGAUGAAAAUUAAAAUUAUGUUGGUAAAUGUAAGCGGCUGAAUGGUGUGCACUAUUUAUGUAUUUGCUUUAUGCCAGUCCAUGUUUUUAAUCCGUGCACCACCUUAUAUAAGCUAUGUGACUACUUUGUAUACAACAUCUAUAAAAAAUAUUUGGUAAUUGAUGACAAAAAAAUAAGCCCGGAGUUUCUUUCUGCCUUUCUUCUUCGGGUAGUCAUCUCUUAGGUAGCUAGUGAAAGGCUGGUGGAUUAGCUAGGUAGGGGCCUAUAUUGUAUUCUUCGACGGCGAAGAUCGUGAUGCAUUCCUUUUAUUUUAUUAAGAUUAUAUCAUAUACCUUUUGUCCUGUCGGCCCGAGCUGACUUCUUUCGUUUUUUUAUCCUUUAUAUAUCAAUUAUUUUUUAAAUUUUAGCGUCUGUAGUGACUCAGUGGUUUGUUCAUUAAUUUAUUUGAUUUGUUUUAAACGUAUCAUAAGUACAGCAAUAACUUUGUUUACCUAUAUUUUAUUUUAUUGAACAGAAAAUGCAAUUAUACGGGCUGCAAUUUUAAGUAAAAAUUAUUUUCGCUGGCUAUCGGUAGAUUCUGAAAUUAUGGUAAAUUGGGCGUGAAAAGUAAUGAAAACAUUACUAAUAAAUCUUUAUAUUUAGAUAAGAAAA
This is a long non-coding RNA of Manduca sexta (tobacco hornworm), 3404 nucleotides long. RefSeq lists it as uncharacterized. Lineage: Eukaryota; Metazoa; Arthropoda; Insecta; Lepidoptera; Sphingidae. The transcript has 2 exons. The record is from RefSeq and is a predicted model, not a curated record.